GACGAACGCUGGCGGCGCGCUUAACACAUGCAAGUCGAACGGAAAGGCCCUGCUUUUUGGGGUGCUCGAGUGGCGAACGGGUGAGUAACACGUGAGUAACCUGCCCUUGACUUUGGGAUAACUUCAGGAAACUGGGGCUAAUACCGGAUAGGAGCUCCUGCUGCAUGGUGGGGGUUGGAAAGUUUCGGCGGUUGGGGAUGGACUCGCGGCUUAUCAGCUUGUUGGUGGGGUAGUGGCUUACCAAGGCUUUGACGGGUAGCCGGCCUGAGAGGGUGACCGGCCACAUUGGGACUGAGAUACGGCCCAGACUCCUACGGGAGGCAGCAGUGGGGAAUAUUGCACAAUGGGCGGAAGCCUGAUGCAGCAACGCCGCGUGCGGGAUGACGGCCUUCGGGUUGUAAACCGCUUUCGCCUGUGACGAAGCGUGAGUGACGGUAAUGGGUAAAGAAGCACCGGCUAACUACGUG
This 467-nucleotide ribosomal RNA is filed under the name uncultured bacterium. RNAcentral's name for it is "partial 16S ribosomal RNA". It matches the Rfam family "Bacterial small subunit ribosomal RNA", at positions 28 to 507 of the family's 1533-position model. The record is from RNAcentral.